Non-coding RNA from Callorhinus ursinus (northern fur seal), 277 nucleotides. NCBI's taxonomy places the organism in Eukaryota, Metazoa, Chordata, Mammalia, Carnivora, Otariidae. The record is from RefSeq and is a predicted model, not a curated record.
GAUCACUGUCCCUAACCUCAAGAUCUAGGUGGGGAAACAAGCAGCUGACCCCAAUGAAGAGGAGACACAAGAAGGAGCUGAACAUCUGGUACUUUCUCUGAACUGCUAUCUGGGGCUCAGCCUGGGUUUUGUUCUUUGGAUGAAAUAUCUAUGGCAGCUACCUUCAGAGUCCAGAUGCAUUUGACAUAACGGAGGUCCUAGUCAGUGGCAUGAGGAAAGUCGACUGGGCCUCAGACAUAAAAGAAAAGCACACAAGCUUUUGGCAGAGUAUAAGGGA